AGUGAACGCUGGCGGUAGGCCUAACACAUGCAAGUCGAACGGCAGCACAGUAAGAGCUUGCUCUUACGGGUGGCGAGUGGCGGACGGGUGAGGAAUACAUCGGAAUCUACUUUUUCGUGGGGGAUAACGUAGGGAAACUUACGCUAAUACCGCAUAUGACCUACGGGUGAAAGCAGGGGAUCUUCGGACCUUGCGGGAUUGAACUAGCGGAUGUCGGAUUAGCUAGUUGGCGGGGUAAAGGCCCACCAAGGCGACGAUCCGUAGCUGGUCUGAGAGGAUGAUCAGCCACACGGGAACUGAGACACGGUCCAGACUCCUACGGGAGGCAGCAGUGGGGAAUAUUGGACAAUGGGCGCAAGCCUGAUCCAGCCAUACUGCGUGGGUGAAGAAGGCCUUCGGGUUGUAAAGCCCUUUUGUUGGGAAAGAAAAGCAGCAGGUUAAUACCCCGCUGUUCUGACGGUACCCAAAGAAUAAGCACCGGCUAACUUCGUG
Molecule: ribosomal RNA, 492 nt
Filed under: uncultured bacterium
Lineage: Bacteria
Description: partial 16S ribosomal RNA
Rfam family: Bacterial small subunit ribosomal RNA
Source: RNAcentral